GAGGGUGUAGCUCAGUAGUAGAGUACAUGCCUAGCAUGCACAAGGUCCUGGGUUGAAUCCCCAGUAACUCCA
This 72-nucleotide transfer RNA is filed under the name Camelus ferus (Wild Bactrian camel). It matches the Rfam family "tRNA". From Rfam's summary of the family: Transfer RNA (tRNA) molecules are approximately 80 nucleotides in length. Their secondary structure includes four short double-helical elements and three loops (D, anti-codon, and T loops). Lineage: Eukaryota; Metazoa; Chordata; Mammalia; Artiodactyla; Camelidae. The record is from Rfam by way of RNAcentral.